RNAcentral lists this long non-coding RNA (7577 nucleotides) under Lathyrus oleraceus (garden pea). RNAcentral describes it as "Pisum sativum (pea) long non-coding RNA (PSAT_LNC034111)". Lineage: Eukaryota; Viridiplantae; Streptophyta; Magnoliopsida; Fabales; Fabaceae. The record is from RNAcentral.
UUCAAUUCACCUGUUCUUGCUACUUUCUUGCACGACCUCCUUGUCUCAAGGCUUUCACCCGACUGAAUUAAUCCCAAGCGCACACUUGUUGAACCAAAGAUUUGUCAACACGGUCCACCGUUUCACGCUACUCCCUUGCACGACACACCUAGUCUCAAGGCUUUCACUCGAUCGGAUCCGAAUUGCACAAUUUUGUCCAAAACCUUCAAACCCUAAAGAUCUUGAAGGAAAAUCCACCUCGAUUUUCUCGGUACAACAAACCUAAUUGGACGUUAUUAAUCCUAAUCAAGAUGGUAAUCAAUCAAAAAAUGAUUAUGUGUAGUUUGAUUGUAUGUAUGCAUAAAUUGAAUUGAAGAUGAUGAGAUACUUUGAAAUCCUAGAUUCAUGUAGGUUUUACUCACUCUAGAAACCUUACUAGAAAAUGAUGCAUGUAUGAAGUAUUUACAUGCAUAGGUGAUUUAGGUAAAAAAGGAAUGCCAAUAACUUGGAGAAAAUAUGAAUUUUUCAAAAAAUUUAUCGUAUAGGUCGACCUGUAAGAUAUAUGCGUCGACCUGUCAAGGUCAUGCGUCAACCUAUUCAAGGUCAUGCGUCGACCUGUAACAGCUAUGUGAAUCCUAUGUGUCGAUCUGAGGAGUCAAUCAUAUAAUGUAGUUUUUACAUAGAACAGGGAUUACAGGUCCCCUCACAUCUUUGACAUAGAACAGGUUAAUACCGCGACAUACAUGUCGACCUAUAACAAUGAAAAUGUUUAUAUAGGUCGACAUGUAGACAACAUGUGUCGACCUGUAGACAACAUGUGUUAACCUAUAAUGUAGUUUUUUACAAUAAUUUAUUUUUCAUGCAUUUUUGAUGCACAAAACCUUUCUCGAGAUGUUUCAAAAUUCUUUUAUGCUUCCUAAUUCUAAGAUGCACAUAGACAAUCAGAGGAUACCGUCCAAUAUACAUUAACGCUAAAGUAUUAUAAUUUUGACAUCAUACAAAAUACAUUUAAAAGAAGUUGUACUCACACAAGUCACUCAAAGCAUAAGGUUUUUCUUUCCCACAUUGAAUAUUUGAGUGUCAAAUAAGCUCUCUUUAAUCCACAUUGGCUCGAAGUCAUAAGACUUGAGUACGAAGCUUUGCUAAAGAACUAAACUUAGACAUUGACCACUCUUCCUCCAAAUCAAAAACUUAUAAGAUACAUGUGGAUUUUCAAGGUUAAAUAAGUACAAUGCUCAACUGGUUGCUAAGGGGUUUCAUCAACGAUUUGAGUUUGAUUUUAAUGAAACUUUUUCUCCCAUUAUUAAAUCUGUAAUAAUUCGAGUUAUUCCCACUUUAACUUUUACUCACAAAGGAGAGCUUCAACAAAUUAGUUUGAACAAAUAGUUAUGAUAUCCUAAUAUAUAUGAUGUUCGUGUGAGCGAAAUCCUUGUUUCACGACUCUUCACCACUGCCAUCCUAAUAAAUUAAAUUAUUAAUGAUCAAUCAUAUACACCAGUUUUGUAAGGGAAUAUAAUUUGUAGCUAUAUAAUACAUAUUUACUUCUGUUUUCUAAAAAGUUAUUAGUCAUUGUUUAUUCAAUGAAGUAUUAAAUAAUUUUUAAAUUUUAUAAAAAUUUGUCGCGUUGAUUUAUUCAAUAAAAAGAAAUUAUGUCACAGUUAAAUUACUUUUUUUUUGUUAUUAUAAUAAAUGUAAUAAAUUAGUAUUAAACAAGAUAAUUUAUCACAAAAUUACAUUUCAAAUAAUUGUAUCAUCAUUCUUUAAUGAAUAAAAUUAAUACAAAUUAAUUUACUAUCAAGUAUGAAUUUACUUUUAUUUAGACAAGUUCCAAGUAUGAUUUUACUUGACCGAGUGUUUAGUCUACUAAUUAACAUUUCUUUCAUUAAUUAUAAAAUAAUCAUUUUUAAUUUUCUUGUCCUCCUAAUAGUUACAUUUGGGUGUUUACAUAUUUUUGGCCAGUAAGAAAAUGGAUAUAAGCUGGUUGUGUAGGUCCCACUCUGAUGAUAUUGCUAUGGCUAUGCCCAUGGUAGUACAAGUUUAGAGGGAUAAACAAAACUGUCAACAACACAACAAAGGAAAUUUCUCUCAUCACUCCAAUUCCACAUGGACACCAUCCCUACUUCCAUCAACAGGUUUUCCAUUCUCUCUCCCUCUCCUUGAUUCUCAAUUGAAAUUCUGAAUUGUGAAAUUUGUUAUUUUUGCAGUGGUUUGGGAUGGAGUUCUUCCUCGUUGUUUCAGCAAUCAAAUUGCUUCAACCUACUCUCUCUUCCUCCUAAACGAAAACCUUCUCUCACUAAGUUUUCUCUCACUUGCUCUGCCGCCUCUUCUUCCUCUGGUAUUCUCUACUUUUUUCAAUCAGUUUCCGCUUCUAGGUUUCUCUCAUUUUUGCUCUUUUCUGUUAAUUAAUUGUUCUCAAUUUGAGUUUCGUUUCUUUUCUUUUCAAUUUGAAAUGUAUAGUGUAUAGUGUGUUUUAUACCGUAUCAUUUUUUAUAUAUUUUCAGAUCCUCUUUUGGUUAAAGCUGCCAGAGGAGACCCGGUUAGUCGUCCUCCUGCAUGGAUGAUGCGUCAGGCAGGAAGGUACAUGGCUGCUUACAAAAAGUUAGCGGAGAAGCAUCCGUCCUUCCGAGAGAGGUCAGAGACGACUGAUCUCAUUGUAGAAAUUUCUUUGCAGCCUUGGAAAGCUUUCAGGCCUGAUGGAGUAAUUAUUUUCUCUGACAUCCUUACACCUCUACCUGCAUUCGGGAUUGACUUUGACAUAGAAGAUGUGAGGGGACCUGUAAUACAGUCGCCUAUCCGCUCCGAGGAGGCAUUAAAGGUUUUGCACGCAAUUGACUUCGACAAGCUUAGAUUUGUAGGAGAAUCACUUAAAACCCUGCGGAAAGAGGUAGAAAUUGAUUGCAACAAACAUGUCUUCCCUUUAUUCCUAACUUGGCUAUUUUGCCAAGGUUGUUUUUCUUACUUGUUUUCUUUUAUUUAGGUUGGUGGUGAUGCUGCUGUUUUAGGUUUUGUGGGAGCGCCUUGGACAUUGGCAACAUAUAUAGUUGAAGGCGGUACAACACGCACGUAUACUAACAUUAAAAGCAUGUGCCAUACGGCACCACACAUAUUGAGGACUCUACUUUCUCAUUUGACAAAGGCAAUAGCAGAUUACAUCGUUUUCCAAGUCGAAUCUGGGGCUCACUGCAUACAAAUCUUUGAUUCAUGGGGUGGACAGCUACCUCCUCAUAUGUGGGAACUUUGGUCAAAGCCUUAUAUCAAAGAGGUAUGCAACUAAAGGAAAAUGACCACUUCUUUCUAGCAUCAUAAAAUUGUUGUAGGUUUUCAAGCUUUUUGCUGUUAAGCCUAAUUUAAACCAAUUUCGUUAUUGUCGAAAGGAAAAUAGUAUGUAGUUUGCCAAGUUUUGCAACAGUUCGGUUUUAUGUUAAGUUAGUUAGUAUAUAUUUACCAAGUCUCCAUGAUUCUUCUUGGUUGGUUGGCCUUGUAAAUAUUAUGAUUGGUUAAAAGGUUUUAAUUUAUAAACUUCUUCUUGGUUGGUCCGCUAAUGGAAAAAAAACUUGUUAUUUGCAAGCUUGACUGUUACAUAAGCUCGUUGGAUACAAAUCAUGCUUCCGACUUCAGGGGAGAAAACUUGAAAUUAGAACUCCGUUGCUACAUCUUCAUAUUUAAAUAUUUCAUUACGAUGAUUAUUACUAUUAGUUUCUUACGAAAUAGAAAGUUCACACUAAAUAGAAAAGUCUAGGUUGACUGCUGUUAAGUCAUUCUCUUUUUAUUUAUUUAUUUCUGUUAGUUAUACACUUCUUUCUUUCUGAACUUCUAGAUUGUAAAUUUGGUGAAGAAAAAGUGCCCAGAGACACCACUUGUUCUUUAUAUAAAUGGAAAUGGUGGCCUUCUCGAGCGUAUGAUAGAUACUGGAGUCGAUGUUAUUGGACUAGACUGGACAGUGGAUAUGGCUGAUGGAAGAAGAAGAUUAGGUAGCGGGAUUGGCGUGCAAGGAAAUGUGGACCCUGCUUUCUUAUUCUCUCCUCUUACUGCCCUGACAGAAGAAAUUCAGAGGUUGGUGACGUAACCACCAUUUACUUUUUAGUAUUCUUAUAAUCAUUCUAUGGCCGUCAGCAUAUAGAUUCUAGGGGAGGCUACGUCAUCGGAGCACUGUUACAUGGCAUAGCAGUUUGUUCAAAUUCCACUAUGCUACAUUGUUACAAUGCUGUUAUAGCCACGGAACAAUUAACAUUUUGUUCAAAUACCACUACACUAUAACACUAUAGCGCUACUAUAGCUGCUAUUUGACAACACUGCACCGGAGUGAUUCCUAAGUGACCCUCCUAGGUGAUCCAGCAGAAUGAAAAACCAAUGUGUUAAAUGCAUUACCAGGAUCCUCCAAGUAAAUGUACAGGCUGCAUCUUCUCUGUUUAUGAUCCAGUGUCUAAGAUGUAUAGGUUAAACUGCCCAUAGUAUUUGCUUAAUUGACCGAAGAACUGAAAAUAAUACUGACAAGGACGGCAUUAAACAAAGAAUGAUAGAAAUGUUCUUCAAGGAAUUGUUGCUAUAUUAUUUAUCUUUUAGUUUCAAUUAUGAAUCGAAUCAAUAAGACUUGUGUGCCUUUGGUAGAAGGCCAAAGUUUUGUCCGGUGACAGAACCUGAUUUCUCUAAUUUUUUUUUAUGGUACUAGCUUUUUGUCCAAUUAAACCCUCAUAUUUAUAAGAGUAGAGAAACAAAUUUUAUUGAUGAAUUAUCUUGAUUUCUUAAUAUGAUGAUUACACGUAACUGUCAGGGUUGUGAAGUGCGCGGGACCUAGACGACACAUUCUUAAUCUCGGGCACGGUGUUCUCGUUGGUACACCUGAAGAAGCUGUUGCACAUUUCUUUGACGUAGCCAGAAGUUUGAAGUUUGACACAGUCUCUCAAAAUAACACUGCAAAUGUAGUUUAAACGAAAAUGCCAUUAGUGUAGCCACUUGUUGUACUUUUCCCGGUAGAUCAAGCCAUUUCUGGAAGAGUGCAGGUUCAGUCUUUCCUAAUACAACUAUGCGAUGAUGAUCAAUUGAUCGUUGUCUGAGAAUUUACACAUUGCUGUGUCGGCUAAUUUAUGAAAAUAGUCUGCAUUUUUCUGUAUUUUGUAAUUGUUUAUGAUAAAUCAAUAAUACUAAUUAGAGGAUUCCUUCCAUUGUUUGAACACUAGUUAUGCUUUCAUUACAGAGAAAACACAAUAAACUUUUGAUUUCAUUACAGAUAAAACAACGCUAACAAACUUAAGGUAACUUAUGAGCCAACUGUAUUAAGUUAUUUCUUGGCUGCCAUAGAAAUUUUGAAUGCAUUUUUUAUUCUGAAACAAAAACUAUACAAUACAUUCCUUAUAUUUAUUUAACUUCUGUUUCUUUUGAAGGGUGUCUCCAUGCACACAGUAAAAUGUUUCACAAGAAUUUUCAGGCCUGUCAAUUAAACUUGUCACUGGAAGAACGGUUGCCAUAUUGGUGUAGAGCCUCAUUCAGAGUUUUGAGAGCCUUGUCAUAAGACACAAACCCCAUAAAAAAGAACUCAUAACCAUCAACUGUCACAAUCUCGAUGUAUUUUUCUUUCGAGUUAAAUAUAUUAGCUGAAGGACUAACUGCCCUCAGCUGAUCGAGCUGCACUACCACCUACAAGUUACGUCACAUACAGAAUCAACACUUGAUCGAUACCGUAAAAUCACUGAUACAUGUUAUCGAUGUUAAAGAUGCAAUGAGAUAAGGAAGUACCUUAUAGUAGAUACAUUGAUGCUGCAAGGAGAAUGGAUAGUGACAGAGUGGAUAGUCACUGCAGAAUGCCAAUCUUUUAGUUGUUAUGUAAAGUGUUCCAAUCACAGGUCCAGAGAUUUUUGAUAUGUAACAAACAUGUUGCUUUAACAGUUUCUCUCCUGGAAUAACCCCAAAUGUUUGCUGAAAUAGCUUAUCAGAUCCCCCAUUUGCAAUCAGUUUUGUUCCCUGAACUAGUCUAGCCAUUGCAGCAUCAGCUGGACUAGAACUCAUUCUGACUGUACUCAUUGAAAAUGGAUUCCAUUAGAAUAAAGUUAGAAUCACAAAUUUCAUCACAAAUUCAAAAGGAUACUAUCAUAAUUAAAUAGUUAUAUAUAUCAAAUGUGCAAUGCUUUUUUUUUUGUUGCCCCUAUAUUAGGCAACUUGUUACUAGCUUCCAAGGAGAUAUUAAUAUGAACAGAAAACUAUCAUCCAAAAAGUCACUAUAAAUCCAAUCAUGGAACCAAUCAUGGGACCAAUCAAUAAUGUGUUGUCUAUUACCAAUUUAUUUUCCUUUCUCCUUCUUCACUUUAAUAUACAUUUAUUGAAUCUAGAUCUCCAUUCUUACACAAACACUUGCCUUCACUCUUCUCCAACUAUCACUACAAUCCAUCAUCAUGACCUCAACCACCGCACCACUCCUUCCAUGGAAGGUUCGCUUCACCAUGUCUACCAUCUCUUCUCUCAUCUCAGUCUCUCACCGUUCCAACGACACCGUCAACCGCCGUCUCUUCAACUUUUUUGAUCGAAAAACCUCUCCUAACCCUAACUCCAUCGAUGGAGUCACUUCCUCUGACGUCAUCGUAGACCCCACACGCGAUCUAUGGUUUCGCCUUUUCAUCCCCUCCUCCAACCCCAUCUCCGACGGGUCUCUCCCCGUCUUUGUGUUUUUUCACGGCGGCGGUUUUGCAUUAUUUUCUCCGGCUUCCAUCACAUACAACGCUGUUUGUCGUUUAUUCUGCCGUUCGUUCUCCGCCAUCAUUGUAUCUGUUAAUUACCGUCUUGCCCCUGAGCAUCGUUAUCCUUCUCAAUACGACGACGGUUUGGCAAUCCUUAAAUUCCUCGAUCAAAAUAACAACGUCUUAGGAAAAUCAGCUGACAUCAGCAAAUGUUUUUUGUCGGGUGAUAGUGCGGGUGGUAAUUUAGCUCAUCAUGUAGCGGUCCGGGUUUCCUUAGAAAAGUUUCAGGUUUUGAAAAUUAUCGGUUUGGUUUCAAUCCAACCUUUUUUUGGAGGUGAGGAAAGAACCGAAUCUGAAAUCCGAUUCAACCGGGUACCUAUUGUUUCAAUCGAUAAAACUGAUUGGUAUUGGAGGAUGUUUUUGCCAGAUGGGUCAACCCGUGAUCAUGAAGCGGUUAAUGUUUCUGGACCUAAUGCAAUGGAUAUUUCGAAUGUGGAUUAUCCGAGUACCCUUUUGUGUGUUGGUGGACUCGAUCCAUUAUUGGAUUGGCAAAAGAGAUAUUAUGAAUGGUUGAUAAAAUCCGGAAAAGAAGUGGAAUUAAUUGAAUAUCCAAAUAUGAUUCAUGUGUUCUUUUAUUUUCCAGAAUUACCAGAGACAUCACAGUUUAUUUCUAGAGUUAAGGAUUUCAUGAAUAAGCAAAUGGCUCAUGUGAAUUAAGGGCUUAAAUAAUUUGGUUUGUAUGCUUGCCUAAAAAAACAAAUAAAGUGUAUCCUGUUUUGUUUAUAUAUAUAGGACGAAUGCUAGAGAAAAUAAGAUUACAUGUAAUAUAUGUUUAUAAUUAAUGUAUUUGGUGGUGUGUUGAUAAUAUUCAGAUAUAUUGAUUAUUCAAUAAAUUUAAAAAAUAAAUUUUUUCUUAUAAAUAGAUUAAAG